This 59-nucleotide microRNA precursor is filed under the name Octopus vulgaris (common octopus). RNAcentral describes it as "Ovu-Mir-12512_pre stem-loop". RNAcentral also lists the same sequence under 1 other name. The record is from RNAcentral. Lineage: Eukaryota; Metazoa; Mollusca; Cephalopoda; Octopoda; Octopodidae.
AGGUUAACCGGAUUAGCGUUCUGUCCGGUUCAAAAAGACCGCUGUUCCAGUUCAUCUGC